Molecule: long non-coding RNA, 1331 nt
Organism: Pezoporus flaviventris
Lineage: Eukaryota; Metazoa; Chordata; Aves; Psittaciformes; Psittacidae
Exons: 2
Source: RefSeq, a predicted model, not a curated record
GUGUGUGCGGCGGCUCCCGCCGAAGCCUCCAGAGAGUCAAUGCGGAGGGGGAGCGGGGACCCCCGAAAGCGGGUUCUGUGCUUGCAGGGCUUAAAUACCGUUGUUUUAAAGAGUGUGUGCCGCUCUGCCAGCUGGUAGCAUCAAAAUGCUAUUAACAGCGGGUAUUAUUAAAGUCUGAAUAGUAGCGGUGGGCUGGGUGGGGGUGUUUGGGUUGAUUUUGGGAACAGAAAGUCCUUAAUGUGUUUUGGGGGGAGAGUGGAUGUUACAUUCCUUGCUGGAGCCAGGGUUGUUUGUCCGGAGUCAAGUUGUUGAUAAGCUGGCCUCAGUGCUGGGAGUACUUUUAUGUAGUGUGCAUUGGGAAUCUGGCCAGAUUCCCUGGUUUAGUUAGGAGUAAGGGUUUUAACUAUUGUGGUAUAAUAGACUGGUUUGGGUUUUGUUAUUCAUCUCUAAACGGGGAUAUGGAAUGGAACUUUCUGUGCAUGGAUCAUUUGCCAAACCUGAAAACUGUGUGAAUGAGCAUCAUGUACAUAGUCCCCUUUGCUGAACAAGCAUUUUGAGGAUGAGAAGAAAACCUUUUAAGUUUAAUGACCGUAUUUUGUUGCGUAACUGAGCAAUCUGCAAAGACCAAGCAAAUGACGCACUUGCUCCUCAAGUUUGGCUCAGUUUGUCAGAAUUCAGAUGGGAUUUUGACUCUGCCCUGCAGUUAAAACAUACCAUAAUCGAGUACAUUGCUUAAUUCUCCAAUUCUAUUGAAUUAGGCUGCUUUCUCAUCCCUUAUUUCCAUAGCAAAGCUUUAUCUAAACUGAGAGAACUUGCCCAGUUGUUGUAGGUGAACCUGCGAGAUGGGAUCAGUCUUGGAAGCCAGUGCCUCAAAUUUACUUACACAGCCACAAAUGCAGGUUUGAUUGGCACUGUUCUUUUGAGAUGCUGUGCUUCUGCUCCGAAAUGGAUAUUCCUCCUGUCUGAAGUUUCUUGCCUGGAAAGUGAGCUGUUCUGCAACGCUCCUCCAACUUUCCUUGGAAACAUCUCUGCUGGGGAUUAUGAGGUGUAACCUACAAGACAAGUAAAGGCUCAGCAAGCUUUUAUUUGCGUUCUUUCUCUACCUCAAGCAGCUCUUGUAUUUAUUGCACCCAGCAGUCAAUUGUGAACUUUUUUUCCUUCUUUUGAACUCUGCAACAAAGGCACAGAACCGUUUCUCUACCAGUUUUUAUGCAUGCCCUGGCUGCCCGCUACAUCUGUACCCUGGGUGUGCUUUGCUGUCUAAUAGGAGUCUUUCUCUCAGGUUAAAUGGCUGUAAUAUUAUGAAUCAAAAAUAAAGCUCUGUUAAAGGA